GACGUAGGGGGCCAGCGUUGCUCGGAAUUACUGGGCGUAAAGGGUCCGUAGGCGGUGCGGUAAGUCGGGAGUGAAAUCUCUGGGCUUAACUCAGAGGACUGCUUCCGAAACUACCGUGCUAGAGUGCGAGAGAAGGCAAGUGGGAAUUGCGGGUGUAGCGGUGAAAUGCGUAGAUAUCCGCAGGAACAUCCGAGGCGAAAGCGGCU
This 206-nucleotide ribosomal RNA is filed under the name uncultured bacterium. Its description in RNAcentral is "partial 16S ribosomal RNA". It matches the Rfam family "Bacterial small subunit ribosomal RNA", at positions 524 to 726 of the family's 1533-position model. The record is from RNAcentral.